GGGAGAGUUAGCCAAAGAAUUAGAUGCAACCUCAGCUACUACUCCGGGACUUCUAGGAGAAGACUGCGAGCUCUCUGGGUUGUGCUCCUGCAGGCGCAGAUUCUGAAGGAUGCAUUUCAUCAUGGAGAAUUAUUAGAGGAAAUGUGAAUAGCUCAACACAGCCCUUCUGUUACUUAUUACCUGUGUGUCUUUGGAGUCAUCAAAGCCCAGUGGAAAGACCAAAGUGAAGAUGAUUGGUGAUGGCCUGGGAUGCAGUGGAUGACCUUGGCAUCUUCCAAACUCCAAACGUUCUGCAGUUCCUACUUCAGCCACUUGCAUGGCCAUAGGAACAAAUUGUUCUUCUCUUCCCAUUCCACUAGGGGGAAAUUCUUAACAUGCUUGAGGUAGACAUCCCCUCAAAUCAUUGACAGGCUUGAGGCCUGUCGGUUACCUUCAACCUGGUUUAUCCCGUCUGCCAAGAUGGUUUUACCAGGGUGUGGCCCUGUGCAUGCUACAACU
Molecule: long non-coding RNA, 498 nt
Organism: Phascolarctos cinereus (koala)
Lineage: Eukaryota; Metazoa; Chordata; Mammalia; Diprotodontia; Phascolarctidae
Source: RefSeq, a predicted model, not a curated record